UAAGAAUUUAAAAGUCGAACAGACUUAUUUAUAAGAAUGCUGCUUCUUUAUAAUUUUCUUAAUUCAACAUCGAGGUCGCAAAAUAUAAUAUAGAUGUGAACUCCCCAUUAAAAUUACGCUGUUAUCCCUAAGGUAACUUAAUCUUAUUAUCCUAUCUGAGGAUCAUAAAUUACAUAAAUAAAUGAUACAAAAAACUAAAGUUUUAAUUUAAUUACCACCCCAGCAAAAAAUAAAUUUAUUAUUAUAAAAUAUUAUAAUUAAAUUAAAUAAUAUAAAUGUAUAUAAAGUUCUAUAGGGUCUUAUCGUCCCAAUAAACUACUAAAGCAUUUUAACUUUAAAUUUAAAUUCUAAUUCUCUAAGAAAUAAAAUAUAUUUCUCAUACAUCCAUUCAUACAAGCUCACAAUUAAAAAACUAAUUACUAUGCUACCUUUGCACAGUCAAAAUACUGCAGCCAUUUAGUUGAUAAACCAUAGGGCAGAAGAUACUUUUUAUAUAACCA
This 500-nucleotide ribosomal RNA is filed under the name Nesophrosyne sp. 202 GMB-2012. Its description in RNAcentral is "partial 16S ribosomal RNA". The record is from RNAcentral. Lineage: Eukaryota; Metazoa; Arthropoda; Insecta; Hemiptera; Cicadellidae.